ACCAAAUCAGUCACAACCUAGACAAGCACUGUAAGCAUUUAAUCUCAAAGCCAUUAUCUCUUAUUAUGUUGCUUCUGAUAUUCAUCAUGUUUCCUCUUUUAAAAGAGAAUGCUGCUGCAGAUUUAAUAACAUCAUUGUUCACAGAGAAACAUGUUUUAGCAGGAGAUGAUGUGACUUUAUCCUGCGACUACAGUGGUAUUGUUUACAGUUUACAGUGGUACCGUCAAUAUCCCGGAUCCAAACCUGAGAAUCUCAUUUUUCACACUGAGACCAAUAAUGGGUCAGAGCCAAAGCUUCGUCUGUAUGCCGUUGCUGAUAAAGCUAUCAAACGUAUGAAUCUGAGUGUCUCUAAAACACAAACAGAGGAUUCAGCUGUGUAUUACUGUGCCCUGCAGCCCACAGUGACAUAAAACACAACAACACUGUACAAAAACCUGACAAUCGCAAUCAUUACAUUUUGCACCUAAUAAAGCAUCCCUUACUAUCAGUCAAACAACAUUAUCAUUUAGUUAACACUAUAAUUUAUUAACAUUUAUUAUUUCAAAAAUGAAAGAUGUUUUAAAAAAUUAAGGUUAUUUAGUACAGCACAUCU
Molecule: non-coding RNA, 592 nt
Organism: Misgurnus anguillicaudatus (oriental weatherfish)
Lineage: Eukaryota; Metazoa; Chordata; Actinopteri; Cypriniformes; Cobitidae
Source: the annotation of a RefSeq genome assembly